This 482-nucleotide ribosomal RNA is filed under the name uncultured bacterium. RNAcentral's name for it is "partial 16S ribosomal RNA". It matches the Rfam family "Bacterial small subunit ribosomal RNA", at positions 30 to 507 of the family's 1533-position model. The record is from RNAcentral.
AUCGAACGCUGGCGGCAGGCCUAACACAUGCAAGUCGAGCGGAUGAAGGGAGCUUGCUCCUGGAGUCAGCGUCGGACGGGUGAGUAAUGCCUAGGAGUCUGCCUCGUAGUGGUUGAUAACGUCCGGAAACGGGCGCUGAUACCGCAUACGUCCUGAGGGAGAAAGUGGGGGGUGUUCGGACCUCACGCUAGGAGAUGAGCCUAGGUCGGAUUAGCUAGUUGGUGGGUUAGAGGCCUACCAAGGCGACGAUCCGUAACUGGUCUGAGAGGAUGAUCAGUCACACUGGAACUGCGACACGGACCAGACUACUACGGGAGGCAGCAGUGGGGCAUAUUGGACAAUGGGCGAAAGCCUGAUCCAGCCAUGCCGCGUGUGAAGAAGGUCUUCGGAUUGUAAAGCACUUUAAGUUGGGAGGAAGGGCAGUCAGUUAAUACCUUGCUGUUUUGACGUUACCAACAGAAUAAGCACCGGCUAACUUCGUG